GUGCCUAUAGUUCAGUUGGUUAGAGCGUCAGAUUGUGGUUCUGAAUGUCCACGGUUCGAGUCCGUGUAGGCACC
This 74-nucleotide transfer RNA is filed under the name Hoylesella loescheii. RNAcentral describes it as "tRNA-His". It matches the Rfam family "tRNA". Rfam says of the family: Transfer RNA (tRNA) molecules are approximately 80 nucleotides in length. Their secondary structure includes four short double-helical elements and three loops (D, anti-codon, and T loops). Lineage: Bacteria; Pseudomonadati; Bacteroidota; Bacteroidia; Bacteroidales; Prevotellaceae. RNAcentral also lists the same sequence under 3 other names. The record is from RNAcentral.